Molecule: ribosomal RNA, 549 nt
Filed under: Bifidobacterium pseudocatenulatum
Lineage: Bacteria; Bacillati; Actinomycetota; Actinomycetes; Bifidobacteriales; Bifidobacteriaceae
Description: bacterial SSU rRNA
Rfam family: Bacterial small subunit ribosomal RNA
Source: RNAcentral
UCUCCUGGAAACGGGUGGUAAUGCCGGAUGCUCCGACUCCUCGCAUGGGGUGUCGGGAAAGAUUUCAUCGGUAUGGGAUGGGGUCGCGUCCUAUCAGGUAGUCGGCGGGGUAACGGCCCACCGAGCCUACGACGGGUAGCCGGCCUGAGAGGGCGACCGGCCACAUUGGGACUGAGAUACGGCCCAGACUCCUACGGGAGGCAGCAGUGGGGAAUAUUGCACAAUGGGCGCAAGCCUGAUGCAGCGACGCCGCGUGCGGGAUGACGGCCUUCGGGUUGUAAACCGCUUUUGAUCGGGAGCAAGCCUUCGGGUGAGUGUACCUUUCGAAUAAGCACCGGCUAACUACGUGCCAGCAGCCGCGGUAAUACGUAGGGUGCAAGCGUUAUCCGGAAUUAUUGGGCGUAAAGGGCUCGUAGGCGGUUCGUCGCGUCCGGUGUGAAAGUCCAUCGCUUAACGGUGGAUCUGCGCCGGGUACGGGCGGGCUGGAGUGCGGUAGGGGAGACUGGAAUUCCCGGUGUAACGGUGGAAUGUGUAGAUAUCGGGAAGAAC